RNAcentral lists this ribosomal RNA (445 nucleotides) under uncultured bacterium. Its description in RNAcentral is "partial 16S ribosomal RNA". It matches the Rfam family "Bacterial small subunit ribosomal RNA", at positions 354 to 796 of the family's 1533-position model. The record is from RNAcentral.
GUGAGGAAUAUUGCGCAAUGGAGGCAACUCUGACGCAGCCAUGCCGCGUGCAGGAAGAAGGCGCUACGCGUUGUAAACUGCUUUUAACCGGGAAGAAACCCCAGGACGUGUCCUGGGUUGACGGUACCGGAGGAAUAAGCACCGGCUAACUUCGUGCCAGCAGCCGCGGUAAUACGAAGGGUGCAAGCGUUAUCCGGAUUCAUUGGGUUUAAAGGGUGCGUAGGCGGAGCGUUAAGUCAGUGGUGAAAUCCUGCAGCUUAACUGUAGACUUGCCAUUGAUACUGGCGCUCUUGAGUGCGCUUGAAGUGGGCGGAAUGUGCCGUGUAGCGGUGAAAUGCUUAGAUAUGGCACAGAACACCAAUUGCGAAGGCAGCUCACUAAGGCGAUACUGACGCUGAGGCACGAAAGCGUGGGGAUCGAACAGGAUUAGAAACCCGGGUAGUCU